Lotus japonicus is the source of this 1990-nucleotide long non-coding RNA. RefSeq lists it as uncharacterized. NCBI's taxonomy places the organism in Eukaryota, Viridiplantae, Streptophyta, Magnoliopsida, Fabales, Fabaceae. The transcript is spliced from 6 exons. The record is from RefSeq and is a predicted model, not a curated record.
AGCCCAUUCAAACUGAAGCCAAUUUCAUUUAUGAAUCUCUCUAUCUCCAAUGCUUCUCUCUUCAGUUCCCAUACAACCGUCCACCACUGCCACCGGUAUUGUCCAAUUAGUUGUGUUCAUUCCCACUCACCUCCUAUACUGACCAAUAGUGGCAAAGAAGAGAAUGUAAAUUUUCUUGGGCUAAGGAAGAAAACACCAAAAAUGUUAGUCUCCCAUUUAAAAAGCAACAAUGCUAUAUGUUACGAGUUACGACUUACGAAUUAGAGACCGCCCCAAAUAAACAGAGUUAACACAUCACAGCAGGCAAGCGCCGCCGCCGCCACCCUCCACUCUCUCACGCCUAAACCCUUGAUUCCUCCGUCCUCCUCAUCCGCUCCCAGCUCUAACCAAAGCUUUCUUCUUCCUCAAUUUCAACCUUGACGCCGCUGUUUCAACCUCCUUAUUCUAAUGGUUGGUUUCAUGCAUUUCAGACAGAUUUCUUCAAGAACCUAAUACAGGGAAAGUCAGUUUGAUAACUCUACGAGUGUUGAUUCUGCAUCUGAUUUCUUUUUACAAAGGUUGUGAAUGUGAUACUUGGCUGGGCUAUGAGGUUCCUUCACACAGCAUGCUCUCAAAGAUUUCUAAAAUUGUUGGAACAAUACAAGCAAUCUUCACUGUACCAUGUCCCCAUCUAUUUGGGAAAAAAUGUAUACAUGUAUACACUCCUGAUCAGGCAGUCAAUGACCAUUUGAGCUAAGUCUUCUAUACAUAAUUUCUUGACUGCAAAAUCUCUAUUUGUUUGAAAAUGAUUAUGAUGGUUAAACUUCCUCUUUAUACUCAAAUGCAUUUUUGUCCUCGCUGUUGUCAUGAGAUCUUUUGUGUUUGGACUUUUGAUUAGAAUUGUACCUAUUACGAUAAAAUGUUUUUCUAACUAAACUUAAUAUUCUUACUCUUCACCAAUCUUUAUAAGCAUAUAUCCGUUUUAUGCAGGUCCAAAAUGGUAGUUUUUAAAUUUUCACUGAAUGAUAGUAUAAGUUGCACUCAUUUUGCCUCUUUUAUCUUUAUCUUUUGUUCAGCAUCAAAGAAAUUUGGAUGUUGGAGAAGACUUCCAUUGUCAAUCUACAUUGUGAAGACUCAAUAUCUAAAUAAUAUUCCGAAAAAUCUACUUCAAGCAAUGUCUAUGAGGAUGUCCAUGUCUACUUUUACCUUCAUGUUCUUAUUAUUAUUUUGGUGGUAAUCUUACUCCCAAUGUAUAUUUAUGCAGUUCUUUUUGAAUGAUCUACUUACCCUGGCCAGCUUACCGAUCAUCAAGGUCAAGUACAAAAGAUUGGGAUAAGCUGGAAGCAAUGGUGAAAAAAGAGGUUUUGCAGCUGAAGUGUGAAAUUGUUUUAUUAUGCCUUUGUAAUUUGACUUGGUAAGAAGCAUAAUGAUUACUUAAGUCUGAAUGCUUAAGUCACACUAGGCGGAGAGAAUUUUCCGGAGUUUUCAUCAUGAGGUGUUGUUUUAGGUUUAGGGAUUUCAUGAGGCUCACAGAUUGGAGAUCUUGCUUCUGAAAUCUUCCAAUGGGGUUUUGAGCCUUUUUUUGUGGCAUCAGUACUCAAAAUCUUCUUCUCCUACAAUUUUCGCUCAUGUAUAACUUGAUGGUAUAUAGUUGUCUAUGCCACCAAGAACCCCACUUCCUAAUCAUCUUCACUAUUAUGCUUUUUGUGGAAGACUUCAAGAGUUACGCCUCUCUGAUUUCCGUGAUGAUUGGGAGUACUCGAUGUUUCUUUGUUCAGAGUCUAGAAAAGUUCAAAGAAUAAAGGGAACUAUUUAUGCUGUGCACAUGGUUUAACAUUGCAGUAAAGGAGUCUUUGUUGGAUGGCAGAAGCUGAAGUUGGAGCUGGAUUUCAAUUGUAUUUGUACUGAUUCCAAGAAUAAAUUAGAUCAUUUAGUCAGAUUUUUGUAAAAUAAUUGUGUAGUGAAUUGUGUUUUGAUUGAUGUUUCUAUUUAGAAAAUUCAUUUUCCCAAA